UAGCAAUCACUGAGGAAAGAGAGAGAAAGGUAUUUCCCCAAGGUUAUAAAACAAGUUGAGAAACAGCCAAGCUUGGAAGACAGAUUAACAGGAUUCAUAUCUACUAGUACUUUCCUGUGUACUUCCUAUUAAAUCAGAAACCAAUUUCAUGACUCCAUGGGUCAAGGGUUAAUGUCCUCCUACUGCAACAUAAAGUAUUUUUCAUCUGAUCACACUGUGGGCAUUGGCUGAAAAAUGAAUCUGCUAUCCAUGAGGGACCAAGAC
Molecule: long non-coding RNA, 264 nt
Filed under: Homo sapiens (human)
Lineage: Eukaryota; Metazoa; Chordata; Mammalia; Primates; Hominidae
Description: HSALNT0154687
Source: RNAcentral